Molecule: ribosomal RNA, 449 nt
Filed under: uncultured bacterium
Lineage: Bacteria
Description: bacterial SSU rRNA
Rfam family: Bacterial small subunit ribosomal RNA
Source: RNAcentral
GUCCAGACUCCUACGGGAGGCAGCAGUGGGGAAUAUUGCACAAUGGGGGAAACCCUGAUGCAGCGACGCCGCGUGAGUGAAGAAGUAUUUCGGUAUGUAAAGCUCUAUCAGCAGGGAAGAAGAUGACGGUACCUGACUAAGAAGCCCCGGCUAACUACGUGCCAGCAGCCGCGGUAAUACGUAGGGGGCAAGCGUUAUCCGGAUUUACUGGGUGUAAAGGGAGCGUAGACGGCGAUGCAAGCCAGAUGUGAAAGCCCGGGGCUCAACCCCGGGACUGCAUUUGGAACUGUGUGGCUGGAGUGUCGGAGAGGCAGGCGGAAUUCCUAGUGUAGCGGUGAAAUGCGUAGAUAUUAGGAGGAACACCAGUGGCGAAGGCGGCCUGCUGGACGAUGACUGACGUUGAGGCUCGAAAGCGUGGGGAGCAAACAGGAUUAGAUACCCUGGUACAU